Non-coding RNA from Podarcis lilfordi (Lilford's wall lizard), 68 nucleotides. The record is from the annotation of a GenBank genome assembly. Lineage: Eukaryota; Metazoa; Chordata; Lepidosauria; Squamata; Lacertidae.
UAUAUAUGUGUGUGUGUGUGUGUGUGUGUGUGUGUGUAUGUAUACACAAACACACACAAACAUAUAUG